This 968-nucleotide ribosomal RNA is filed under the name Karenia bidigitata. Its description in RNAcentral is "eukaryotic LSU rRNA". It matches the Rfam family "Eukaryotic large subunit ribosomal RNA", at positions 65 to 930 of the family's 3401-position model. Lineage: Eukaryota; Dinophyceae; Gymnodiniales; Kareniaceae. The record is from RNAcentral.
CUAAAUAGGAUUCCCUCAGUAAUGGCGAAUGAACAGGGAUAAGCUCAGCAUGGAAAUUGGGGCCUCUGGCCUUGAAUUGUAGUCUUGAGAUGUGCUGCCAACGGAGGCGCAGAUGUAAGCCUCUUGGAAAAGAGCAUCAGGGAGGGUGAGAGUCCCGUGUGUCAUCUGCAGUUCUCCGUGCACGGUGCAUUUUCUAAGAGUCACGUUCCUCGGGAUUGGAGCGCAAAUUGGGUGGUAAAUUUCAUCUAAAGCUAAAUAUUGGUUCGAGACCGAUAGCAAACAAGUACCAUGAGGGAAAGGUGAAAAGGACUUUGAAAAGAGAGUUAAAAGUGCCUGAAAUUGCUGAAAGGGAAGCGAAUGGAACCAGUUGUUCUUGGCGAGUAUUGGUGUUGUCUAAGGUGAUGGCUUGCCACUUCAACGCAAGUGUGGUGGCAUGUUUUGAACUGGAUGCGAUACUGCUUCUCGCCUUGCGUGUCAACGUCAGUUCAUAAUUGAGGAAAACUCUAGGGACAUGGUAAUUUGCUUCCGGGUGACUGAAUGUGCCUAGUUGAACUCAUUUUUGAACUGCUCCCUCUAUGUCUGGUAGCAGUGCUCUGCGUGUUCAUCAGCACCAUCAUGCUGGCUCUGCCUGGCAUGAGGGUUGCUGGUGCCCAGAGCAUGUCCUUGACAUAAGUACGAUGACGAAAUGGUUUUAUUCGACCCGUCUUGAAACACGGACCAAGGAGUCUAACAUAUGUGCAAGUUCUCGGGUGGGAAAACCUGUUUGCGCAAUGAAAGUGACUGCUGGGAUAUCUGCACCAGCAACCGACCAAUCGAUUGUGAGAGGUUUGAGUAUGAGCAUAUCUGUUAGGACCCGAAAGAUGGUGAACUAUGCCUGAGAAGGGUGAAGUCAGGGGAAACUCUGAUGGAGGCUCGUAGCGAUACUGACGUGCAAAUCGUUCGUCAUACUUGGGUAUAGGGGCGAAAGA